Molecule: transfer RNA, 75 nt
Filed under: Candidatus Woesearchaeota archaeon
Lineage: Archaea; Nanobdellati; Candidatus Woesearchaeota
Description: tRNA-Glu
Rfam family: tRNA
About the family: Transfer RNA (tRNA) molecules are approximately 80 nucleotides in length. Their secondary structure includes four short double-helical elements and three loops (D, anti-codon, and T loops).
Source: RNAcentral
GCCCCGCUAGUGUAGUCCGGUCAAUCAUCGCGCACUUUCGAUGCGUGGACAGGGGUUCAAAUCCCCUGCGGGGCA